Molecule: ribosomal RNA, 314 nt
Filed under: uncultured bacterium
Lineage: Bacteria
Description: partial 16S ribosomal RNA
Rfam family: Bacterial small subunit ribosomal RNA
Source: RNAcentral
GUAUAAGAGACAGCAGUCGCCGCGGUAAUACGUAGGGUGCAAGCGUUAAUCGGAAUUACUGGGCGUAAAGCGUGCGCAGGCGGUUUGUUAAGACAGAUGUGAAAUCCCCGGGCUCAACCUGGGAACUGCAUUUGUGACUGGCAGGCUAGAGUAUGGCAGAGGGGGGUGGAAUUCCGCGUGUAGCAGUGAAAUGCGUAGAUAUGCGGAGGAACACCGAUGGCGAAGGCAGGUCACUAAGAUUUAACUGACGCUCAUGCACGAAAGCGUGGGGAGCAAACAGGAUUAGAUACCCGUGUAGUCCCUGUCUCUUAUAC